CGGGGUGUGGCGCAGUUUGGUAGCGCACCUGCUUUGGGAGCAGGGGGCCGCAGGUUCAAAUCCUGUCACCCCGAC
This 75-nucleotide transfer RNA is filed under the name Thiemannella venezuelensis. RNAcentral's name for it is "Planomonospora venezuelensis tRNA-Pro". It matches the Rfam family "tRNA". Rfam says of the family: Transfer RNA (tRNA) molecules are approximately 80 nucleotides in length. Their secondary structure includes four short double-helical elements and three loops (D, anti-codon, and T loops). The record is from RNAcentral. RNAcentral also lists the same sequence under 5 other names. Lineage: Bacteria; Bacillati; Actinomycetota; Actinomycetes; Streptosporangiales; Streptosporangiaceae.